This 497-nucleotide ribosomal RNA is filed under the name uncultured bacterium. RNAcentral describes it as "partial 16S ribosomal RNA". It matches the Rfam family "Bacterial small subunit ribosomal RNA", at positions 28 to 507 of the family's 1533-position model. The record is from RNAcentral.
GAUGAACGCUGGCGGCGUGCCUAAUACAUGCAAGUCGAGCGAACAGACGAGGAGCUUGCUCCUCUGACGUUAGCGGCGGACGGGUGAGUAACACGUGGAUAACCUACCUAUAAGACUGGGAUAACUUCGGGAAACCGGAGCUAAUACCGGAUAAUAUAUUGAAUCGCAUGGUUCAAUAGUGAAAGACGGUUUUGCUGUCACUUAUAGAUGGAUCCGCGCCGCAUUAGCUAGUUGGUAAGGUAACGGCUUACCAAGGCAACGAUGCGUAGCCGACCUGAGAGGGUGAUCGGCCACACUGGAACUGAGACACGGUACAGACUCCUACGGGAGGCAGCAGUAGGGAAGCUUCCGCAAUGGGCGAAAGCCUGACGGAGCAACGCCGCGUGAAUGAUGAAGGUCUUCGGAUCGUAAAACUCUGUUAUGAGGGAAGAACAAAUGUGUAAGUAACUAUGCACGUCUUGACGGUACCUAAUCAGAAAGCCACGGCUAACUACGUG